This 417-nucleotide ribosomal RNA is filed under the name Bacillus sp. 30La. RNAcentral's name for it is "bacterial SSU rRNA". It matches the Rfam family "Bacterial small subunit ribosomal RNA", at positions 155 to 556 of the family's 1533-position model. Lineage: Bacteria; Bacillati; Bacillota; Bacilli; Caryophanales; Bacillaceae. The record is from RNAcentral.
AACCGGGGCUAAUACCGGAUGCUUGAUUGAACCGCAUGGUUCAAUCAUAAAAGGUGGCUUUUAGCUACCACUUACAGAUGGACCCGCGGCGCAUUAGCUAGUUGGUGAGGUAACGGCUCACCAAGGCGACGAUGCGUAGCCGACCUGAGAGGGUGAUCGGCCACACUGGGACUGANACACGGCCCANACUCCUACGGGAGGCAGCAGUAGGGAAUCUUCCGCAAUGGACGAAAGUCUGACGGAGCAACGCCGCGUGAGUGAUGAAGGUUUUCGGAUCGUAAAACUCUGUUGUUAGGGAANAACAAGUACCGUUCGAAUAGGGCGGUACCUUGACGGUACCUAACCAGAAAGCCACGGCUAACUACGUGCCAGCAGCCGCGGUAAUACGUAGGUGGCAAGCGUUGUCCGGAAUUAUUG